RNAcentral lists this ribosomal RNA (440 nucleotides) under uncultured bacterium. RNAcentral describes it as "partial 16S ribosomal RNA". It matches the Rfam family "Bacterial small subunit ribosomal RNA", at positions 338 to 795 of the family's 1533-position model. The record is from RNAcentral.
CCUACGGGUGGCAGCAGUAGGGAAUAUUGCUCAAUGGGGGAAACCCUGAAGCAGCAACGCCGCGUGGAGGAUGAAGGUUUUCGGAUUGUAAACUCCUUUUGUUAGAGAAGAUAAUGACGGUAUCUAACGAAUAAGCACCGGCUAACUCCGUGCCAGCAGCCGCGGUAAUACGGAGGGUGCAAGCGUUACUCGGAAUCACUGGGCGUAAAGAGCGCGUAGGCGGGAUAGCAAGUCAGAUGUGAAAUCCUAUGGCUUAACCAUAGAACUGCAUUUGAAACUGUUAUUCUAGAGGAUGGGAGAGGUAGGUGGAAUUCUUGGUGUAGGGGUGAAAUGCGUAGAGAUCAAGAGGAAUACUCAUUGCGAAGGCGACCUGCUAGAACAUAACUGACGCUGAUGCGCGAAAGCGUGGGGAGCAAACAGGAUUAGAUACCCCGGUAGUC